GAUGAACGCUGGCGGCGUGCCUAAUACAUGCAAGUCGAGCGAACGGACGAGAAGCUUGCUUCUCUGAUGUUAGCGGCGGACGGGUGAGUAACACGUGGAUAACCUACCUAUAAGACUGGGAUAACUUCGGGAAACCGGAGCUAAUACCGGAUGAUAUUUUGAACCGCAUGGUUCAAAAGUGAAAGACGGUCUUGCUGUCACUUAUAGAUGGAUCCGCGCUGCAUUAGCUAGUUGGUAAGGUAACGGCUUACCAAGGCAACGAUGCAUAGCCGACCUGAGAGGGUGAUCCGCCACACUGGAACUGAGACACGGUCCAGACUCCUACGGGAGGCAGCAGUAGGGAAUCUUCCGCAAAGGGCGAAAGCCUGACGGAGCAACGCCGCGUGAGUGAUGAAGGUCUUCGGAUCGUAAAACUCUGUUAUUAGGGAAGAACAUAUGUGUAAGUAACUGUGCACAUCUUGACGGUACCUAAUCAGAAAGCCACGGCUAACUACGUG
This 497-nucleotide ribosomal RNA is filed under the name uncultured bacterium. Its description in RNAcentral is "partial 16S ribosomal RNA". It matches the Rfam family "Bacterial small subunit ribosomal RNA", at positions 28 to 507 of the family's 1533-position model. The record is from RNAcentral.